Molecule: ribosomal RNA, 624 nt
Filed under: Tetrias scabripes
Lineage: Eukaryota; Metazoa; Arthropoda; Malacostraca; Decapoda; Pinnotheridae
Description: partial 16S ribosomal RNA
Rfam family: Bacterial large subunit ribosomal RNA
Source: RNAcentral
GUCUGCUUGAAGAUAUAAGAAGUCUAGCCUGCUCACUGAUAUAUUUUAAGAGCCGCGGUAAUUUGACCGUGCAAAGGUAGCAUAAUUGUUAGUUUUUUAAUUGGGAUCUUGUAUGAAUGGUUGGACAAAAGAAAAUCUGUCUCUAAAAUUAUAAUUGAAUUUAACUUUUAAGUGAAAAGGCUUAAAUUAAUUAAAAAGACGAUAAGACCCUAUAAAGCUUUAUAAAUUAUUUCUAUUUAGUUAAAUUGUUUUAUAAAAACUUAGUAGUUAUAUUUAUUUUAUUGGGGUGAUAAGAGUAUAAUUUUUAUUAACUGCUUGAUUGUUAGACAAAAUAGUUGAAAUAAAAGAAUUAAGGAUCCUAACUAAAGAUUAAAAGAUCAAGUUACUUUAGGGAUAACAGCGUUAUUUUUUUUGAGAGUUCUUAUCGAAAAAAAAGUUUGCGACCUCGAUGUUGAAUUAAAAUAUCUAAGUGAUUGCAGCAGUUGCUUAAGAAGGUCUGUUCGACCUUUAAAUUUUUACAUGAUUUGAGUUCAGACCGGCGUAAGCCAGGUCGGUUUCUAUCUUUUAAUUAUGGUUGAUUAUUUUAGUACGAAAGGAUUAAAGAAUCAAAAUUUUUUUAUAGUU